ACUCCUACGGGAGGCAGCAGUAGGGAAUCUUCCACAAUGGGCGAAAGCCUGAUGGGGCAACGCCGCGUGGGUGAAGAAGGUCUUCGGAUCGUAAAACCCUGUUGUUAGAGAAGAAAGUGCGUGAGAGUAACUGUUCACGUUUCGACGGUAUCUAACCAGAAAGCCACGGCUAACUACGUGCCAGCAGCCGCGGUAAUACGUAGGUGGCAAGCGUUAUCCGGAUUUAUUGGGGCGUAAAGGGAACGCAGGCGGUCUUUUAAGUCUGAUGUGAAAGCCUUCGGCUUAACCGGAGUAGUGCAUUGGAAACUGGGAGACUUGAGUGCAGAAGAGGAGAGUGGAACUCCAUGUGUAGCGGUGAAAUGCGUAGAUAUAUGGAAGAACACCAGUGGCGAAAGCGGCUCUCUGGUCUGUAACUGACGCUGAGGUUCGAAAGCGUGGGUAGCAAACAGGAUUAGAUACCCUGGUAGGAUAGCG
RNAcentral lists this ribosomal RNA (474 nucleotides) under uncultured bacterium. Its description in RNAcentral is "bacterial SSU rRNA". It matches the Rfam family "Bacterial small subunit ribosomal RNA", at positions 335 to 799 of the family's 1533-position model. The record is from RNAcentral.